UUUUGUAGAAUGAACCGGCGAGUUACGAUUUGAUGCAAGGUUAAGCAGUAAAUGUGGAGCCGUAGCGAAAGCGAGUCUGAAUAGGGCGUUUAGUAUUUGGUCGUAGACCCGAAACCAGGUGAUCUACCCUUGGUCAGGUUGAAGUUCAGGUAACACUGAAUGGAGGACCGAACCGACUUACGUUGAAAAGUGAGCGGAUGAACUGAGGGUAGCGGAGAAAUUCCAAUCGAACCUGGAGAUAGCUGGUUCUCUCCGAAAUAGCUUUAGGGCUAGCCUCAAGUGAUGAUUAUUGGAGGUAGAGCACUGUUUGGACGAGGGGCCCCUCUCGGGUUACCGAAUUCAGACAAACUCCGAAUGCCAAUUAAUUUAACUUGGGAGUCAGAACAUGGGUGAUAAGGUCCGUGUUCGAAAGGGAAACAGCCCAGACCACCAGCUAAGGUCCCAAAAUAUAUGUUAAGUGGAAAAGGAUGUGGCGUUGCCCAGACAACUAGGAUGUUGGCUUAGAAGCAGCCAUCAUUUAAAGAGUGCGUAAUAGCUCACUAGUCGAGUGACACUGCGCCGAAAAUGUACCGGGGCUAAACAUAUUACCGAAGCUGUGGAUUGUCCUUUGGACAAUGGUAGGAGAGCGUUCUAAGGGCGUUGAAGCAUGAUCGUAAGGACAUGUGGAGCGCUUAGAAGUGAGAAUGCCGGUGUGAGUAGCGAAAGACGGGUGAGAAUCCCGUCCACCGAUUGACUAAGGUUUCCAGAGGAAGGCUCGUCCGCUCUGGGUUAGUCGGGUCCUAAGCUGAGGCCGACAGGCGUAGGCGAUGGAUAACAGGUUGAUAUUCCUGUACCACCUAUAAUCGUUUUAAUCGAUGGGGGGACGCAGUAGGAUAGGCGAAGCGUGCGAUUGGAUUGCACGUCUAAGCAGUAAGGCUGAGUAUUAGGCAAAUCCGGUACUCGUUAAGGCUGAGCUGUGAUGGGGAGAAGACAUUGUGUCUUCGAGUCGUUGAUUUCACACUGCCGAGAAAAGCCUCUAGAUAGAAAAUAGGUGCCCGUACCGCAAACCGACACAGGUAGUCAAGAUGAGAAUUCUAAGGUGAGCGAGCGAACUCUCGUUAAGGAACUCGGCAAAAUGACCCCGUAACUUCGGGAGAAGGGGUGCUCUUUAGGGUUAACGCCCAGAAGAGCCGCAGUGAAUAGGCCCAAGCGACUGUUUAUCAAAAACACAGGUCUCUGCUAAACCGUAAGGUGAUGUAUAGGGGCUGACGCCUGCCCGGUGCUGGAAGGUUAAGAGGAGUGGUUAGCUUCUGCGAAGCUACGAAUCGAAGCCCCAGUAAACGGCGGCCGUAACUAUAACGGUCCUAAGGUAGCGAAAUUCCUUGUCGGGUAAGUUCCGACCCGCACGAAAGGCGUAACGAUUUGGGCACUGUCUCAACGAGAGACUCGGUGAAAUCAUAGUACCUGUGAAGAUGCAGGUUACCCGCGACAGGACGGAAAGACCCCGUGGAGCUUUACUGUAGCCUGAUAUUGAAAUUCGGCACAGCUUGUACAGGAUAGGUAGGAGCCUUUGAAACGUGAGCGCUAGCUUACGUGGAGGCGCUGGUGGGAUACUACCCUAGCUGUGUUGGCUUUCUAACCCGCACCACUUAUCGUGGUGGGAGACAGUGUCAGGCGGGCAGUUUGACUGGGGCGGUCGCCUCCUAAAAGGUAACGGAGGCGCUCAAAGGUUCCCUCAGAAUGGUUGGAAAUCAUUCAUAGAGUGUAAAGGCAUAAGGGAGCUUGACUGCGAGACCUACAAGUCGAG
RNAcentral lists this ribosomal RNA (1786 nucleotides) under Staphylococcus aureus. Its description in RNAcentral is "partial 23S ribosomal RNA". It matches the Rfam family "Bacterial large subunit ribosomal RNA", at positions 606 to 2393 of the family's 2925-position model. The record is from RNAcentral. Lineage: Bacteria; Bacillati; Bacillota; Bacilli; Caryophanales; Staphylococcaceae.